AGGUACAGGAGGGAGAAGUCUCUCUUGCCAGAAGUGACCCUCUGGGAGCACCAGAUAUGAAGGGAGAUAGUUUCUGCCCAUCCAGUGCUCAGCACAAGUGGCUUUUCUGCAGUCUUCUGUGCUUAGCCACCUCCCACAGCUCUCCAGUCGGCAGGUUCCAGCUGCAGCCUGAGAGCCUGGCUCAGACAUUGGCUGUUAUCCCAGCAGAAGUCCAGGCCUCACAGCUGGAAGAGAAGAUCACUUCAGUGUGGAGAGCACCUUCUUGGUGAGUUUCAUGUCUGUUUCUUGGAGACUUAUGUGUUGAGAACGCCUAGAUUCUUAUCAGAAUAAAAAUAAAAUACUGAAAAUGAGAGAGAUGAGCUCCAGAUGCAAUUGGACAUGGAUUGCAUGUGGUCUGUCUCCAGCUCAGGGAGCUCAGGUUCCCAGGGCCUUGCUUGGAAGUGCUCCUCAGCCCAUGGAGGUAAUGUUCUUUAGGGCAAUGUGAAGAAGAAUGAAAUCCAAGAGGGCUGAAGAGGUUGAAAAGAACUUUCUGGACAAGGGAAAGUUUCCGCUGGCUUCCAAACACUUGGGUAGAGGUAUCCUUGAAGUUGGUCAUGAAGACUGGAUUAAGAUGGCACAUGAGGAGUUGCUCACUACAUGAAUUUUCCAACAGCAAAGACGGCACAGGGACCCACCUAAGUUGGCUUCUUUUGGAACCACAGGUUGAAGGACUUGCCUUCCUGGUAAGCAAGGAGUGGCCAUGCCCCAGGGCCUGGGCAGGUUCUGAGAACAAGGGAAUAGGUUAUUACAGGUCAGUGAAGAGCAAGUAUUGAAACAAGUCUUGGUGUUGGUAGGUGCCACAUAUGUACAAGUGAAGGUGGUCUCUGGAGCAAAGAGACUUUGGCCUCCAGGUAAUAAGGAAAAGUUUAUUUUGCAUUGCAAUUUCAGAUUAGGGCUUAAUAUUCCAUUGUAUGAGUUUAUCACUAAAUGUUCAUUUUUGUAUUUCCAAGAACAUUUGCAGCUAUUACCAAUGACUCCCUUGGGAUCACAGGAGCAAAGAUGCCAGACCUAGUUCCUGGGUUCAUUGACCCCUUCCUGCCCCAUAAGCAAGGUCAGCUUUCAGCCCUCUCUCCUCCUGUGCAGCUCUGAGCACAUAAGUACUUUCAUGUAUUCCCACAAGUAUGUUUACAGGCCUGAGUGAUUCUAACAUCAACA
Molecule: long non-coding RNA, 1194 nt
Organism: Perognathus longimembris pacificus (Pacific pocket mouse)
Lineage: Eukaryota; Metazoa; Chordata; Mammalia; Rodentia; Heteromyidae
Exons: 4
Source: RefSeq, a predicted model, not a curated record